GAUGAAGAACGUAGCGAAAUGCGAUAAGUAAUGUGAAUUGCAGAAUUCCGUGAAUCAUCGAAUCUUUGAACGCAUAUUGCGCCCUCUGGUAUUCCGGGGGGCAUGCCUGUCCGAGCGUCAUUACAACCUUCAAGCACGGCUUGGCUGUUGAGCGGUCUGUUUUGACGAACAGGGCUCGAAAUGCAGUGGCGACGGCGAGAUUGGUGCCCGAGCGUAUGGGGCUUUGUCACACGCUCUGGUGGCUCCACUCGCAGUCUGUCAUAGACCAAAUCAAUCUGAUUGACCUCGGAUCAGGUAGGAACACCCGCUGAACUUAAGCAUAUCAAUAAGCGGAGGA
Molecule: unclassified non-coding RNA, 337 nt
Filed under: soil metagenome
Description: partial contains 5.8S ribosomal RNA, internal transcribed spacer 2, and large subunit ribosomal RNA
Rfam family: 5.8S ribosomal RNA (bases 1-120)
Source: RNAcentral